AGAAUCAACGCUGGCGGCGUGCCUAACACAUGCAAGUCGCACGAGAAAGGGUAGCAAUACCUGAGUAAAGUGGCGCACGGGUGAGUAACACGUGAAUGAUCUACCUCCGAGUGGGGAAUAACUGAGAGAAAUCUUGGCUAAUACCGCAUAAUACCCACGGGUCAAAGCAGCAAUGCGCUUGGAGAGGAGUUCGCGGCCGAUUAGCUAGUUGGCGGGGUAAUGGCCCACCAAGGCGAUGAUCGGUAUCCGGCCUGAGAGGGCGCACGGACACACUGGAACUGAAACACGGUCCAGACUCCUACGGGAGGCAGCAGUGGGGAAUUUUGCGCAAUGGGGGAAACCCUGACGCAGCAACGCCGCGUGGAGGAUGAAGCCCUUUGGGGUGUAAACUCCUUUCGAUCGGGAAGAUUAUGACGGUACCGAUAUAAGAAGCCCCGGCUAACUUCGUGCCAGCAGCCGCGGUAAUACGAGGGGGGCGAGCGUUGUUCGGAAUUAUUGGGCGUAAAGGGUGCGUAGGCGGUUUGGCAAGUCUUAUGUGAAAUCUAUGGGCUCAACCCAUAGUCUGCAUGAGAAACUGCCGGGCUUGAGUAUGGGAGAGGUGAGUGGAAUUUCCGGUGUAGCGGUGAAAUGCGUAGAUAUCGGAAGGAACACCUGUGGCGAAAGCGGCUCACUGGACCAUAACUGACGCUGAGGCACGAAAGCUAGGGGAGCAAACAGGAUUAGAUACCCUGGUAGUCCUAGCCCUAAACGAUGACUGCUUGGUGUGACGGGUACCCAAUCCCGCCGUGCCGUAGCUAACGCGUUAAGCAGUCCGCCUGGGGAGUACGGUCGCAAGGCUGAA
RNAcentral lists this ribosomal RNA (841 nucleotides) under uncultured bacterium. RNAcentral describes it as "bacterial SSU rRNA". It matches the Rfam family "Bacterial small subunit ribosomal RNA", at positions 26 to 898 of the family's 1533-position model. The record is from RNAcentral.